GUAGCCUAGUGGUUAGAGCGUUGGACUAGUAACCAGCAGGUAGCCUAGUGGUUAGAGCGUUGGACUAGUAACCAGCAGGUAGCCUAGUGGUUAGAGCGUUGGACUAGUAACCAGCAGGUAGCCUAGUGGUUAGAGCGUUGGACUAGUAACCAGCAGGUAGCCUAGUGGUUAGAGCGUUGGACUAGUAACCAGCAGGUAGCCUAGUGGUUAGAGUGUAGGACUAGUAACCAGCAGGUAGCCUAGUGGUUAGAGUGUAGAGGUGGCAGGUAGCCUAGUGGUUAGAGUGUAGAGGCGGCAGGUAGCCUAGUGGUUAGAGUGUAGAGGCGGCAGGUAGCCUAGUGGUUAGAGUGUAGAGGCGGCAGGUAGCCUAGUGGUUAGAGUGUAGAGGCGGCAGGUAGCCUAGUGGUUAGAGUGUAGAGGCGGCAGGUAGCCUAGUGGUUAGAGCGUAGAGGCGGCAGGUAGCCUAGUGGUUAGAGCGUAGAGGCGGCAGGUAGCCUAGUGGUUAGAGCGUAGAGGCGGCAGGUAGCCUAGUGGUUAGAGCGUUGGACUAGUAACCAUAA
Oncorhynchus tshawytscha (Chinook salmon) is the source of this 560-nucleotide long non-coding RNA. Lineage: Eukaryota; Metazoa; Chordata; Actinopteri; Salmoniformes; Salmonidae. The record is from Ensembl.